CAUCAUCAAUAUGAGGCUGCUCCCAUUCAGUAUCAUCUUCAAAAAGCUCCCAAGGACUGUGUUGAUGUGUUUCUCUGGGGUCGCUCCUGUAUUGAAUAGUAUACCUCUCCCAUGGACUGUCUGGAAACUCAGAAGAUUUUGGCUUUACAGACAGAAUCCGGCCAGCCCACCAACUGCCAUCUUCUUCACCAUCAUUUUUCCACCACACUUUACAUUUAUCCCUGCAAGUCCAAUUUCUUUGCAUAGCAGCAUCAAACUGAGUUCUUUCAACAAGAAAAUCUGGGAAUCCUGUCAUUUCAGGCAGAGUUAAGUUAAAUGAUUUCUGGAACACAUUAGAAGUAGGAUCUACAAACUUAAGUCUCAUUUUGCAGCAACUAUCUCCAGAUCCUGGUACUGUUGAAUAUUCGAGGCCCUCAACUUUACAGAAUUCUACAGCCCUUAUUUUCCCCUUUAACAACUUCCAAGGGCCUGGAUCUUUUGAUU
Molecule: unclassified non-coding RNA, 483 nt
Filed under: Hevea brasiliensis (rubber tree)
Lineage: Eukaryota; Viridiplantae; Streptophyta; Magnoliopsida; Malpighiales; Euphorbiaceae
Source: RNAcentral